CCCUUAGAUGUCCUGGGCCGCACGCGUGCUACACUGACGCAUACAGCGAGCACUUUCCAGUUCCGAGAGGCUACUGGUAAUCAUCAAUAUGCGUCGUGAUGGGGAUAGAUCUUUGGAAUUCUGGAUCUUGAACGAGGAAUGCCUAGUAAUCGCAGGUCAUUAGCCUGCGAUGAUUAAGUCCCUGCCCUUUGUACACACCGCCCGUCGCUACUACCGAUUUCGAGUGGUCAGGUGAAUCUUUCGGACUGAGGGCGCCCUUGAGGUGUUCGCGGAAAGUCAGGUAAAUCUUAUCACUUAGAGGAAGUAAAAGUCGUAACA
RNAcentral lists this ribosomal RNA (318 nucleotides) under uncultured eukaryote. RNAcentral describes it as "partial 18S ribosomal RNA". It matches the Rfam family "Eukaryotic small subunit ribosomal RNA", at positions 1470 to 1796 of the family's 1831-position model. The record is from RNAcentral.